Molecule: transfer RNA, 69 nt
Filed under: Rhynchocyon stuhlmanni (Stuhlmann's elephant shrew)
Lineage: Eukaryota; Metazoa; Chordata; Mammalia; Macroscelidea; Macroscelididae
Description: tRNA-Cys
Rfam family: tRNA
About the family: Transfer RNA (tRNA) molecules are approximately 80 nucleotides in length. Their secondary structure includes four short double-helical elements and three loops (D, anti-codon, and T loops). Further hydrogen bonds mediate the characteristic L-shaped molecular structure. tRNAs have two regions of fundamental functional importance: the anti-codon, which is responsible for specific mRNA codon recognition, and the 3' end, to which the tRNAs corresponding amino acid is attached (by aminoacyl-tRNA synthetases). tRNAs cope with the degeneracy of the genetic code in two manners: having more than one tRNA (with a specific anti-codon) for a particular amino acid; and 'wobble' base-pairing, i.e. permitting non-standard base-pairing at the 3rd anti-codon position.
Source: RNAcentral
AGCCUUGUAGUGGUCAUAACCAUGUCGAAUUGCAAAUUCGAAGAAGCAGCUUCAAUUCUGCCGGGGCUU